Molecule: non-coding RNA, 31 nt
Filed under: Mus musculus (house mouse)
Lineage: Eukaryota; Metazoa; Chordata; Mammalia; Rodentia; Muridae
Source: RNAcentral
UGCCUUGAGGGACGCAGAGUUAUGAUAAAGG